CACCUGAGCGCCACCUUUUCCGGUGUCCUCGGGGAGGAGGAGAAGAAACAGGAAGUGUUUCCGGUGUUUUUGCUGCUCCAAUGACUGAUCCUUAUCUAUUGCACUUUCGAUAUGAGUCUAAACUAAGUACCGUACCCUCCAUCGCUUCACCGAUCCGACGGUCCACAUCGGCGAUCGGGCUCCUCCAUCUUCUCUGCGUUCGGCCGCUGCUUCCGUACCCCCGAAUCGCUCUUCCCAAUAGGGUUCUCGUUACAGAACUGAAGAGUACGAUGAGGAUAAAGGAGACUGACGAAUAUGAAGAGGAUGCAUCUGAACAUGAUGGAGAAGAUGAACAAGAAACUCCAAGACCCACCAAGGAGGAAUGAGAAUUUCACAUGUUGAGGGAACAACUAAAGGACAGGAUUAGAAGAAAUCUUGAAAAAACAAAUGCCAAGGCUUUUUGUCAUUUGUCUCAAACCAAUGACAAGAGAAGAACAAUACCAAAUGGCAUGUACAAUCCUAGUAAAUAUUCAGGGAUUGACGACGAUGACAGCGAUCAUGGAAGUUGGUUGUGAUGUAACACACAAAGAAGAGCGAAUAAGGUAUGGAUGCAUGUUUCUUCAUCAUGGUAUACACAAUCUUGAGCAAAUUUUGCACAAGAGGGUAGCAUA
Molecule: non-coding RNA, 650 nt
Organism: Musa acuminata subsp. malaccensis (wild Malaysian banana)
Lineage: Eukaryota; Viridiplantae; Streptophyta; Magnoliopsida; Zingiberales; Musaceae
Source: RefSeq, a predicted model, not a curated record